This 244-nucleotide ribosomal RNA is filed under the name Hemiselmis rufescens. RNAcentral's name for it is "partial Eukaryotic small subunit ribosomal RNA". It matches the Rfam family "Eukaryotic small subunit ribosomal RNA", at positions 287 to 532 of the family's 1831-position model. Lineage: Eukaryota; Cryptophyceae; Cryptomonadales; Hemiselmidaceae. The record is from RNAcentral.
ACGAUGAUUCAUUCAAGUUUCUGCGGCAUCAGCUGUCGACGGGAGUGUAUUGGACUCCCGUGGCUGUAACGCCUAACGGAGAAUUAGGGUUCGACUCCGGAGAGGGAGCCUGAGAAACGGCUACCACUUCCAAGGAAGGCAGCAGGCGCGAAAAUUACUCAAUCCUAACCCAGGGAAGUAGUGACAAGCAAUACCGAUAGGGAUCCUUUUGGAUUCUUUGUUGGAAUGGGCGUAAUUUAAACCC